This 617-nucleotide ribosomal RNA is filed under the name Coprinopsis cinerea. RNAcentral's name for it is "partial large subunit ribosomal RNA". It matches the Rfam family "Eukaryotic large subunit ribosomal RNA", at positions 67 to 669 of the family's 3401-position model. Lineage: Eukaryota; Fungi; Basidiomycota; Agaricomycetes; Agaricales; Psathyrellaceae. The record is from RNAcentral.
ACCUUCGGAUCCCCUAGUACUGCGAGUGAGCGGGAAAAGCUCAAAUUUAAAAUCUGGCAGUCUUUGGCUGUCCGAGUUGUAAACUAGAGAAGUGUUACCCGCGUCGGACCGUGUACAAGUCUCCUGGAAUGGAGCAUCAUAGAGGGUGAGAAUCCCGUCUUUGACAUGGACUACCGAGGCUUUUGUGGUGCGCUCUCAACGAGUCGAGUUGUUUGGGAAUGCAGCUCAAAAUGGGUGGUAAAUUCCAUCUAAAGCUAAAUAUUGGCGAGAGACCGAUAGCGAACAAGUACCGUGAGGGAAAGAUGAAAAGAACUUUGGAAAGAGAGUUAAACAGUACGUGAAAUUGCUGAAAGGGAAACGCUUGAAGUCAGUCGCGUUGGCCGGAAAUCAACCCUGCUUCUGUUGGGUGUACUUUCUGGUUGACGGGCCAGCAUCAGUUUUGACCGGUGGAAAAAGUCCAAGGGAAUGUGGCAUCUCCGGAUGUGUUAUAGCCCUUGGUCGUAUACAUCGGUUGGGACUGAGGAAUUCAGCACGCCGCAAGGCCGGGUUUCGACCACGUUCGUGCUUAGGAUGCUGGCAUAAUGGCUUUAAUCGACCCGUCUUGAAAACCGGACCAA